RNAcentral lists this long non-coding RNA (3667 nucleotides) under Panax ginseng (ginseng). RNAcentral describes it as "long non-coding RNA (PGIN_LNC018339)". Lineage: Eukaryota; Viridiplantae; Streptophyta; Magnoliopsida; Apiales; Araliaceae. The record is from RNAcentral.
CCCUAUUUGGAACAACUCAGUAGAUAACAUCUACAUCAAAUAAACUCCUUUUCACAUUAAGAGUCUUUAUAGCACUUCCUCAAAAUUAACUACUAGUUCACCAGAACAAAAAUUCUAUUUAUAGAGAUACUUAGAAAAAAAUUAAAUUAUGAAACUCAAUUAAAAAAAGAAAAAUUAAACCUUGAACAACACCCAUUUCUUGGAGAGUUGGUAUUUCUUAGAGACCUGCAACUCUCUCUUCCAUCUCUUUCAAUCUUUUUUUCAUCUCAUCCAAUUCCUUCAACACAAACAAACACAUUCAUCAAAUCAUAUACUUGAUUACGGAUAUUACAUUAGAAUCAACACUUGGGAUUUCUUAAUCCCAUAAAAUCAAUUAGGUUAUGAUUUACCUUUCUUUUUAAUACAAAAGUUAAGGAUAUAUAAAACCAAAUAAUUAGGUUAUGAUUUACCUUUCUUUUUAUUUUCCAAGAAUUAGAUUGUAUCCCCAUUCCAAAUAGUAUCCUUAAAAGGAGGGAAGGAGGGAAAGGGGAUAAUCUGGUACAUAGUAAUUUUAAAUUGAUAGUACACAAAUUACAGCAACUCAAUCAGAUAAUAAUGUGUAUUUAUGUAGAUAAACAGAUACAAAGCAAACAGCCUAGCAAGCCUCAAUGGUUCUCUCAAAUUUCGAUUUUAAUUGGUAAACCUGAAAUAAAUUAACCUCACAAAAUUAACACAAAACACAACCAUGAAGCUGAAUAAGACAUAAUUCACCCAAAUUGAGAGAAUACACCAGAAGCCCUAACUUGAAAAACACAAAAAGCUCCAACUUAAAAAUACCAGAAUUCAAUCAAUUUCACCAAAAGACACAAACAUAAAAUUAGACAAUACCUAUUAACCCAAUUCGCACCAACAAACAACAAUGAAGCUCAUAAAUAAAAUCAAAUCAGAAUGGCAAGUAGCAUAAAAUUUCAAAAAAUAUGAGCAUUUAUACAUGUAAAAGAGAUAAGAGAGAGAUAAAGAAACCUUUUUGCUCCUGCAGGGAGCUCCAAGGAGAAAACUUCUUCCUCCUUCUCAACUGAGCUCGCCAUUUCCCAACUAUCCGAAAAGAAAUAAAAUAAAACCUGAAUUAACAAUAAUAAUAACACAACUAGACCAACCUACUAUGAAUGUAAUACAUUAUAUAUCUAAUUUUCUCUCUUCAUCGACAACAAAAAUCGAUCGAUCCACAAACUUCACAGUUCGCAAUCUCUCGAUUUGCUCCACCCAAAAACCCCAAAUCGAAUUCGUGUGGGAGGAAGGAGAGAUAAAGAACAAAAAAUGAGGGGGAAACGAUUUCGCGAGGAAGGGGAAGAAACUGAAGAGGUUGAAGAGGAGACGAGCUGAGGAUGAAAAGAGAUGAUAUGUGAGCCUUUAGAUUAAGUAGGAAGAAUUGAAUUAAAUGUGAAUGAAUCUGAACCGUCAUUGUGCUUUCUCAAAUUUAAAGACGAACAAAAAAUAAGAUAAUGAAAAUAACCUACUCAAAUUGUCAUUAAACUUUGCACAAAGGCAAUUCUAAUGCACAGGUGCUUGUUAUAUAUAGAACUGAUAUAACCAACAACAUAGGCCUUGUUAACAAAAUCAAAAGAGAGAGUACAACAAAACCAAAGCAAAAUAAUAUAAAUAAUAAUAUAAAAAAAUAGCAUUGAGAUAUCACAAUAAAAAUUCUUAGAAAAUUGCAGGUUGUAAUGGAUAUGCUCAUGUAAUAAAAUAAUCAUUGCCCAAGCAACUUGUGCAUUUUGCUAAAUUUAAGCUAUAAUAUAUUAUAGCUUAACCACCUAUUUUAAGAUAUGAGCUACAAUCUUAAGCAAAUAAGCUGCAAUAAAUGCCGCUAGCAUAAUUAACAUAACAAACAUCAUUAUCAUGAUCAAAAUUAUUAGCGAUAAACUAUAUUUUUUUUCCUAUAUAACAACAUCAUCUUAACAUCACUUCAAUUUAACAAUUAUCAAACCGAGAAGAGAAAAAGAAAGAAAAAAAUGUAGAUAAAUCUUCACCGAAGUCCAAACUGAACAAACAUGCAAAAUAAAAUAUAAUUAUUCAUUAUUUUAACAAUAAGUUAAUCUGAGUAACAGAUAUUGAAAUCAUCGAAAAAUUUUAUGUUACUAUACUCAUAUUUUAAUAAUGGUAAGAUGAAAUGACACACUAACAUAACAAAUAAGUAUCACACUUUUAUUAUUUUUAAGAGUAUAUAUAUAGUACAAAAAUAGAAUUAAUUUUUAAGGAAGGAGGCUCUCAUAUUGGAAAACUAAAAUUUUUUAAACAUUAACGCAGUUGAGAAUUUGGUGAAAAUCCCAAUUCAAAAUUUCAAAUAAACUCGUUAAUACUGAAAUAAUUUUUUAAAAUAUAUAAGUAAUUAUUUUUCUUUUCUGGGUUCUUUGUGGAACUAAUUUGAACAUGAUUACUCAUAAAUUUGAAGGUGGACGAUAAAUAAUUUGACAUUCUUCUGAAUUACAACAUAAUUUACCUACCGAACUAUCACACAAAACAUGAGUUUUUACGAAAAUCUCAUAAUUAUCAAACAUGUGGGCGACUGCCAAUAUUUCCCUGAACUUAUCCCUUUUUGUUGUAUCAUGCCAAACCUAACUAAUUCAAAGUAAACACAACCUUGGGCCAACACACACCCAAGACAAUUCCAACAAAAUAUAAUUCGGAAGUAACAAAAUAAAAUAUAAUUCGAAUUGUAACAAAAUAAAAUAAAAUAAUGUAGUAAUCUUAAUUUUAAUCUAAUUUUAAAAAGAGCACGAAUAGUAAUGUUAAUUUUAAUAGGCUUAAUAGACGUAAGAGCAUAUGUCCUAACUGAAUGACACAACAAAGUUUAACACACACUAACUGCUAGAUAGUUGUGGCUAAAUUUACCUCAAGAUACUGCUCAAUGAUUUUAUCAGUUACAUGAACUGGAUUAUAUCAGAAAUCCUUUCCAAGAAAGCCUCAAUUCUACUGUGUUGACCCUCAUCCCUUCUUCCAUUAGGAAUGUCCACAUUAUCACCUUUUGUAAAACAUGAAAAGUUAAGGCUCUCUCUGCAAAAGGCAGAAACACAAGAAUAAUUUUAUCAAUCAGAGCGUAUUUCAGGUCGACAUAAACAUACGCACCAUGUGUGUUAAACUGUCUAAUAAAGUUUUUUAGUAAAAUCCAUGAACAGCAUAAUGACAUUAUGUUAUGCAUUUCAAUACCAUUACACUCCAACACCUCAGGUCCUGAACAAUUAGAUGUCUCCUUUGGCAAAAACAAUAAUGAAAAGAUUGUGAAACUAAUUAAUCUGACCCUUAGUCAUGGAAUAUGAAGAAAAAAUGACGCAAUAAAAUCAACAAACGUAUCAUUUUACGUUAGUUACUGGAGGCUCAAAUGAAAUUUUCUUUAACAAAAUCUGUUCAAAUAGUUCUCCAAUUUCCUCCUUGCCCUGCAAAAUAAAUUACAAAAAGGUUAGUGUAGAACUAAUCAAUUCAUUGUUAUCUCGAGGAACCCUAACCUGGCUAUUUGUCGAUAACCCAAAAUCUGUAACUUUUAAUAUAGGGGCAAGGUUUGGGGAAAUCGGGAAGAGCAAGGGAGUGAGGUAGAGUUGGGGUUGAAUUGGGAAGAGUUGGGGUUUUGAUUUUGGGGAAAUCAGGAAGAGAAACAAAAAGGCAGGAGAAGACAUGAGAAGGUGGGCAAAGA